AACACAGUUACAGAGCCUGCUGUCUAGUAAUGCCCUAUACGGCGAAACCGCGAAUGGCUCAUUAAAUCAGUUAUGGUUCCUUGGAUCGUACCUUACUACUUGGAUAACUGUGGUAAUUCUAGAGCUAAUACAUGCUACAAAGCUCCAACCCUCAGGGACUAUCUCUUUUAUAAAACCAAACCCUGCCCUACCUCGCGCCCUGCUCUUGCGUAGACUCUGUAUAACUUUGGGCUGAUCGCACCGGCCAGUCCCCGUUACAUAUCUUUCCUAUGCCCGCCUUAUCAACUUUCAAUGGGCCUAUACUGCGCCUACCAUGGUCACAACGAAUUACGGUUCAACUCGGUACAAUUACCCAGAGAAACCCUGACACAUCCCUACCACGUCCCAGGAAGGCAAAUUGACCCACUCCUUACCCACUCCACGAACUGACAAUGUAUAGACAAACAAUAACUCUUUUGGGACUCUUUUGAGACCCCGAAACUGUAUUGAUCACACUCUCAAAUCCUUUAUCGAGGAUCCAUUGUAGGGUCAGUCUGGUGCCUACUUCCAGCUCCAAUUCCAGCUCCUAUAGCUUAUAUCAAAUUUGUUGCUCUUAAAUAACUCUUAGUUCUGAUCUCAGUUCCCCACCUCUGCUCCUGCUAUGGGCGGGUACUGCCUGUUCUGAUCAGUAACCCCGUGUCUCUUGAUGAUCUUCACCGGUUGUCUUGACUGACCCUUUAAUUUACUUUGAGAGUACUAGACUGCUCUUUGCUCGCAUGACUUCUGAUGAAUGAUGCAUGAAAGAAUGGAGUAUCACCUCUGUUGCUUUCUGUAGCUCCUCAGACAUUAGGAAAUGAUUACGAGGACUCACUGUUCCAUCCCAGAUGCGAGCUUCUGUGAUAUCUAGACCGCUACUGAGACUUCUGCAAGAAUUUGCCGGA
This 920-nucleotide ribosomal RNA is filed under the name Agelena silvatica. RNAcentral describes it as "bacterial SSU rRNA". It matches the Rfam family "Eukaryotic small subunit ribosomal RNA", at positions 52 to 956 of the family's 1831-position model. Lineage: Eukaryota; Metazoa; Arthropoda; Arachnida; Araneae; Agelenidae. The record is from RNAcentral.